UACGUAGGUGGCAAGCGUUGUCCGGAUUUACUGGGCGUAAAGAGCGCGCAGGCGGUCGGAUAAGUCGAAUGUGAAAGCCCCCGGCUCAACUGGGGAGGGUCAUUCGAUACUGUUCGACUCGAAGGCAGGAGAGGGAAGUGGAAUUCCCGGUGUAGUGGUGAAAUGCGUAGAUAUCGGGAGGAACACCAGUGGCGAAGGCGACUUCCUGGCCUGUUCUUGACGCUGAGGCGCGAAAGCUAGGGGAGCGAACAGG
Molecule: ribosomal RNA, 253 nt
Filed under: uncultured bacterium
Lineage: Bacteria
Description: partial 16S ribosomal RNA
Rfam family: Bacterial small subunit ribosomal RNA
Source: RNAcentral